CUGUUAUAACACUGCCUUGUCGAGGCAGAGUUGUGGGUUAAACCCCCGCGUGUCUUG
Molecule: transfer RNA, 57 nt
Filed under: Odontesthes argentinensis
Lineage: Eukaryota; Metazoa; Chordata; Actinopteri; Atheriniformes; Atherinopsidae
Description: partial tRNA-Asp
Source: RNAcentral